Long non-coding RNA from Pseudophryne corroboree (corroboree frog), 218 nucleotides. RefSeq lists it as uncharacterized. The transcript has 3 exons. The record is from RefSeq and is a predicted model, not a curated record. NCBI's taxonomy places the organism in Eukaryota, Metazoa, Chordata, Amphibia, Anura, Myobatrachidae.
UUGACCCUGAGUGGGAGAAUGCCUUAUCCAGGUGUAGUCUUGUGCACACCUUUCCAGACCCAUAGCAGUGGUUUGGUUGCAGAGCUGUGAUUAUAUGGACAUUCUCCACACUUGGUAUACAGCAGUUCAGACAUGCAGCCCCAUUGGAAUGUGCUGAUAGAGAUAUACUUUUAAUUAUUCGGCUUCAUUAUAUUAUGAUUGGAUUUGAUGAUUCAUGU